UUAGCAGAAUUUACCCCGUUUAUCUAGAACUCAGGUUAAUUAAGGCCUGGGUCAAAAAUGAUUUUCGCCUCCAGUGCCCUCCUAGCAAGGUUCGCGAAAUUCGCGUGGACUGCGCGAGUAACCAUAGUUACUUGGAAUCAAGAUCGCGUAGUUCGUGAACGGCAUCCGCCAUUUUGAAGUGUCGGCUUUGCACUGGUUUUUCCCAUCUUCGCUGGUGAAUCCGACAAUCUAGAGGAAGACAUCAAAAGAAGGCUUUUGAAUGCUUUGGAAACAAUUUCUCCAAGAAGCAGAUGAAUUUACUGACAAAAAUAAUCCCCCAAAGCAGUUGUUAGAUGUAUUGUCUUCCCCUUAAAACUCCAUUAUUAAGGAAAUGGGCUGCUUUUGAAGCUGCACACCUAUUAUGGUUGGGAUGUUUUUAUGUGUGAGUGCCUGCAUAAUGUGAGCCUCCUUCAUUACCUCUGUGGUGUCCUGCAUCAGAGACUGUUUUUCCACAACCUUUACCAGUAUAUCAAAUCGUGUGUACUGUCUCAGAAGGCAUCGACCAUAGGAUCCUUCUCCCAGUAUUAUAUUCUCUCCAUUGGUUGGAAGAAGUUCAGUAUGAUUGAUUAAGUUUACAGUGGAUUAUUUGGUACUUGCUUUCCUCUUAAAAGACUGGAAAAUGAAGGCAAAUAUAUUAUAGAGAGUGUGCUUAAAUAAAUGCUAGAUUGCAACACAAGUAAAGGUGAAGAUUGUUGAUCUCAUUGUUUGGCAUGCAAAUUACUGCAAAGUAACUAGAAACAUUACUCCUCCUCCAGAUGGACUAGACAUUAGCAUUGGAUUUUAUUUUUUUCUUGGCGUGCUCUCC
Non-coding RNA from Pocillopora verrucosa, 844 nucleotides. Lineage: Eukaryota; Metazoa; Cnidaria; Anthozoa; Scleractinia; Pocilloporidae. The record is from RefSeq and is a predicted model, not a curated record.